UAGGGAAUAUUGGACAAUGGGCGAAAGCCUGAUCCAGCCAUGCCGCGUGAUGGAUGAAGGCCCUCUGGGUUGUAAACAUCUUUUAUCAGGGAAGAAACAUCUCGUUUCUACGAGACUUGACGGUACCUGAUGAAUAAGCACCGGCUAACUCCGUGCCAGCAGCCGCGGUAAUACGGAGGGUGCAAGCGUUAUCCGGAUUUACUGGGUUUAAAGGGUGCGUAGGCGGGAAAAUAAGUCAGUGGUGAAAGCACCGGGCUCAACUCGGUAACUGCCAUUGAUACUGUUUUUCUUGAAUGCGAUUGAGGUAAGCGGAAUGUUGCAUGUAGCGGUGAAAUGCUUAGAUAUGUUACAGAACACCAAUUGUGAAGACAGCUUACUAAGUCGUGAUUGACGCUGAGGCACGAAAGCGUGGGGAGCAAACAG
Molecule: ribosomal RNA, 423 nt
Filed under: uncultured bacterium
Lineage: Bacteria
Description: bacterial SSU rRNA
Rfam family: Bacterial small subunit ribosomal RNA
Source: RNAcentral